GACGAACGCUGGCGGCGUGCCUAAUACAUGCAAGUUGAGCGAUGAAGCUUGGUGCUUGCACCAAUUUGAAGAGCAGCGAACGGGUGAGUAACGCGUGGGGAAUCUGCCUUUGAGCGGGGGACAACAUUUGGAAACGAAUGCUAAUACCGCAUAACAACUUUAAACAUAAGUUUUAAGUUUGAAAGAUGCAAUUGCAUCACUCAAAGAUGAUCCCGCGUUGUAUUAGCUAGUUGGUGAGGUAAAGGCUCACCAAGGCGAUGAUACAUAGCCGACCUGAGAGGGGGAUCGGCCACAUUGGGACUGAGACACGGCCCAAACUCCUACGGGAGGCAGCAGUAGGGAAUCUUCGGCAAUGGACGAAAGUCUGACCGAGCAACGCCGCGGGAGUGAAGAAGGUUUUCGGAUCGUAAAACUCUGUUGGUAGAGAAGAACGUUGGUGAGAGUGGAAAGCUCAUCAAGUGACGGUAACUACCCAGAAAGGGACGGCUAACUACGUG
RNAcentral lists this ribosomal RNA (497 nucleotides) under uncultured bacterium. Its description in RNAcentral is "partial 16S ribosomal RNA". It matches the Rfam family "Bacterial small subunit ribosomal RNA", at positions 28 to 507 of the family's 1533-position model. The record is from RNAcentral.